AUGAGUCCUCCCUACGAGACCCGUGGUAGACCACCACGUUGAUAGGCCGGAGGUGUAAGCGCAGUAAUGCGUUGAGCUGACCGGUACUAAUCGGUCCAUUGGCUUUAUAUC
This 111-nucleotide ribosomal RNA is filed under the name Magnetococcales bacterium. Its description in RNAcentral is "partial 23S ribosomal RNA". It matches the Rfam family "Bacterial large subunit ribosomal RNA", at positions 2804 to 2925 of the family's 2925-position model. Lineage: Bacteria; Pseudomonadati; Pseudomonadota; Magnetococcia; Magnetococcales. The record is from RNAcentral.